AGACAUUCCAUGACUUCCGGGCACUUCGUAAGGUUUAAAUAAGGAUGCUUCGCGUUUGCUCCCUCUUUUGGAGACAGAUUCGCAUUCGUCGCUUUUUCGUCUUGGAUUUGUUAAGGAUUCCAAGUAACUCUUAUUUGGAAAGAAGACGAUCUGCACUUCACAUUUUGGCAUUGACAUUUAAUUUUAGGGUCCUUUAUAUAGAAAGGAGAGUAGGUAAACUGAUUUUUUUUAACAGGGAGGGUCUGACGAUCUUUGGCAGACUUGGAGCAAAAGAUUGAGGUGCAUUGCAUGCCUCCUUUUGAGAGUCUUGCUCUGUUGCUCAGGCUGUAGUGCAGUGGUGCGAUCUUGGCUGCAACCUCAGCCUCCCAAGUAGCUGGGAUUACAAAUGUAAGCUACCACACCCAGCCCUCAUACCUCUUUUAAAAGUCACCCCGUUUUGCAGAAAGUCUGCUGUUUUGUACUGAAGGCUUUGGAAUUUGGCAUUUAGCUAGGAAUGCACGUUCUUUCACCUCAUUCACACUUUAAGAACCACAGAAGUGACUCUGCUUGGCCAGAAGGCACACAGUGUUGGUGGGUAUAUUAAAAGUCCUUGAGUAUUUUGCUUUUGUGUUUUUAUUUUUUUUGAGACGGAGCCUCGUUUGUCUCCCAGGCUGGAGUGCAGUGGCAUGAUCUCGCUCACUGCAACCUCUGCCUCCCAGGUUCAGGAGAUUCUCCUGCCUCAGCCUCCUAGUAGCUGGGACUUAUAGGCGUGUAGCACCACACCUGGCUGAUUUUUGUAUUUUUAGUAGAGAGGUUUCACCGUAUUGGUCAGGCUGGUCUCAACUCCUGACCUCGUGAUCUGCCCGCUUCGGCCUCCUAAAGUGCUGGGAUUACAGGCGUGAGCCACCCUUCCCGGCCACUUUUGAAUGAUCUCUAAUGUAUUUGUAAUUUACCUAACAUUGCCUAAUCUGCUAUGUUAAUGUAUUUAUGAAUUAAAAUAAAUGACUGUACAUGUUUGUGGUUCAUUUUUGUGGAGAUGGCUGUGGUGACAUCAGCCAAGAAUCUAUGAAUGGUACUGCUGAAGGAAACUAGCAUGAUAGCUUCAGUUCUAAAGGCCCUGAAACCUAGUCUCAGGUGGGUCUGCCUUGGGUUCCCUUUAUAUUGGCAGUUUAUUGGGAAGAUGGAUAUUAGGUCCUGACCAAUAGGACCAUAAGUUUGGGUUGAGUGCAAGAUGAGUUGUUAGACCGAUUCUUUAGCUUCCUGCAAUGUAGUGGAGGAAAAGUCGAUGGUAGCAUUGGGAGGUUGUGGUAUCCCUAGUGGAUGAGUUGUAUGAGCCUUUACUACCUGGUGCACCUCAGCCUGAAGAUUGCCAGAAUUGCUUGCCUCAUGACAUGAGUCAUAAUGGAAACAUUGUCAAGCCCCCUGCACUGGCUGCCAACAUAAAUGUUCAGUGCCCUGAAGGAUGGGGACUGAAGGGGGAUCAUCUGGAAGGUAAAGUUACCUACUGGCAUAGGGGAGGUGGGGCAGCCAUUAAGCCAUUUGGAAGUUGAUGGGGACAGGUUUGAGGGAGGUGGGUGAGACAGGAGUUUGGCGGACUAUAGAGCUUGCUUGUCAGGGUGUUGAGGGCAGGGUUGGUUUGAGAAUGGAAGCUAGUUACUAGGUAUGAUUGUGGGGGAACAGCUUGUUUUUCUUACAAGCUAAGAGGAGUGAAGCAGUGUUUAAGAGGGCAUCUUAGAUGCAGCCAGGCUUGGUGGCUCACACCUGUAAUCCCAGCACUUAGGCUGAGGCAGGCGGAUUGCAACAUCUAGACAUCCUGGCGAACAUGGUGAAACCCUGUCUGUACUAAAAAUACAAAACAACUGGGCAUGGUGGUGUGCACCUGUAGGAGGCUGAGGCAGGAGAAUUGCUGGAACCCGGGAGAUGGAGGUUGUACUGAGCUGAGACCUUGCCACUGCACUCCAGCCUGGUGACAGUUAAGUCUCAAAAGGCAUCUUCCUAAACCAGUUGUAUUUGUGCUUACCUGUGCCAGGCACUGUUCUAGGUAAGCACUUGGCAUAUUAAUGCUGAGGUGGGCUUUAACACAGCAUAUUCCCAUGGGGAAACCCAGGAACCAAAAGACUAAUUGUCCAAGUCCACAACUAGAAGUGGCACCUCUGCAGAAAUAGGCAUGAAGUUCCCUGCUCAGGAAGAAGCCAGAUGAGUCAGUCCCAUUCUGUGUAUGCCCAGUCCCAUCCGUGUCCUGCUGUAUCUACAUAGAUCUCACCUGAGUAAAGUGAUUUUUUUCUGAA
RNAcentral lists this small RNA (2267 nucleotides) under Pongo abelii (Sumatran orangutan). Its description in RNAcentral is "retained intron". The record is from RNAcentral. Lineage: Eukaryota; Metazoa; Chordata; Mammalia; Primates; Hominidae.